AGUCGAGCGGACCGGAUGGGAGCUUGCUCUUGUUCGGUUAGCGGCGGACGGGUGAGUAACACGUGGGCAACCUACCCGUAAGACCGGGAUAACUCCGGGAAACCGGAGCUAAUACCGGAUAACACCGAAGACCGCAUGGUCUUCGGUUGAAAGGCGGCUUUGGCUGUCACUUACGGAUGGGCCCGCGGCGCAUUAGCUAGUUGGUGAGGUAACGGCUCACCAAGGCGACGAUGCGUAGCCGGCCUGAGAGGGUGACCGGCCACACUGGGACUGAAACACGGCCCAGACUCCUACGGGAGGCAGCAGUAGGGAAUCUUCCGCAAUGGACGAAAGUCUGACGGAACGACGCCGCGUGAGCGAAGAAGGUCUUCGGAUCGAAAAGCUCUGUUGUUAGGGAAGAAAAGAUACCGUUCGAAUAGGGCGGUACGGUGACGGUACCUAACGAAAAAUCCCCCGCUAACUACGUGCCGCCA
Molecule: ribosomal RNA, 473 nt
Filed under: Parageobacillus caldoxylosilyticus
Lineage: Bacteria; Bacillati; Bacillota; Bacilli; Caryophanales; Anoxybacillaceae
Description: bacterial SSU rRNA
Rfam family: Bacterial small subunit ribosomal RNA
Source: RNAcentral